Molecule: transfer RNA, 70 nt
Filed under: Marmota monax (woodchuck)
Lineage: Eukaryota; Metazoa; Chordata; Mammalia; Rodentia; Sciuridae
Description: tRNA.Ala
Source: RNAcentral
GGGUUGGAGCUCAGUGGUAAAGUGCUUGCCUAGCAUGUGAGAGUCACUGGGUUUGAUCCUCAGUAAUGCA